Harpegnathos saltator (Jerdon's jumping ant) is the source of this 1469-nucleotide RNA transcript. RefSeq lists it as uncharacterized. Lineage: Eukaryota; Metazoa; Arthropoda; Insecta; Hymenoptera; Formicidae. The transcript is spliced from 4 exons. The record is from RefSeq and is a predicted model, not a curated record.
CAUAUAGAGAACUUUAAUUGAAGAUUAUAAAAGUUAUGAAGGAAUCAAUUAUCAGACGAAUGACAUGUAUAAAGCACUUUCAAUACAUGCUCAGCAGAUAGCUCAGAAAUAUAUACUAUUUACCUUAAGAGGUAAACUUGGUAGAUCAGUACCAGUCCUAUUAACUGAAGAAUUAAGAAAUUGCAUUGAUAUGAUCCUAAGGUAUAGAAAAGCUGCGAGAGUUUCUUCAAAAAACCCAUAUUUAUUUGGUCUUCCAUCUAUUGCAAAAAAUAAAUACAAAUAUCUUUUGGCUUGUGAUUUAUUGCGACAAUAUGCGUUAGAAUGUGGUGCAGAAAAACCAGAGACCUUACGUGCAACUGAGUUACAUAAACAUAUAGCGACAAUAUGUAUCAAUUAUAACUUAUCAGAAAAUGAGAUCUCAGCAUUUGCGAACUUUAUGGGUUACAGUGACAAAAUACAUUUAAGUCACUACAGACAACUUGUUAUUGAGAAAGAAAUAUUGGAAGUAUCACAAUAUUUGGAAGCAGCACAAGGGAACAGCGAAGACAAUGAUAGUGACUAUUCGGAUUCUACGAUCUUUGAUAAUGAAAACACAAACCAAAAGACAUACAGCGAUGAGUUUAAUAUAACUACAUCUAGACAACUAGUUCAAGGUUCUAGUACAUGGGAAACAUCUUACGAUAAUAGUGACUGCAACAAUAAUAUAGAAAAUGACAAAAAUUUGGAAAAUUUUAAUAAAUAAUUGGCAAAAAACGAAAUAAAAAUAAGAAAAAUGAUGGGCAUUGUUCUAGUACAUUUGAAACAUUUAACGAUGAUAUUGACUUGAGCAAUAAUACAGAGAAUGACAUAGAAAAUGAUACAGAUUUGGAAUAUUUUAAUGAACAAUUGUCUCGUAAAAAACAAAAAAGAAAUAAGAAGAAAAAUAAACCCUUGAUAAAUCGAAAUCGAUGGACGGAAGAAGAAAAACGUCUCGUUCUCGAUGCUUUUAGGCAUUAUUUGAAAAGACAUAACAAAAAAUUACCUUUCAAUGAAAUUGGAAAUUUUUUACAAAGACAUCCUGAUUUAUUAGCUCAAAGUGCAGCAACGAAGUGCAGCAAGUGUUAAAACAAGGAUACAUAACCAAAAACGUGGAAUAAAAAAAAUAUAACUUCAUAAAAUAAGUUUUGUAAGAAAUUGAAAAGAAAAAGCGCAAGUUACAACUACAACUUUAAAAAAUGAUGCAAUAAUCAUUAAGGCUUCUAGCCCCUAAAUCGAGAACUCCGCGUUGAUUGCUUCCGAAUGAUGCUAUCACUCUUCAAUAUAGCUGCAGCAAGAGGUUAGAAGCUUCAAUGUUCAUAAAAAUUAUUAAAUAAACAAUUAUUCUUAUUUCUUAUUAUUUGAUUGUAUUUCAACGUGCAAUUGUAUUUGAUUGUUUUUUGAUUAUAUAAUUCUAGCACUAAAUAAUUGUGAAAAAAAUAUAUAAUAUAUAC